This 6408-nucleotide long non-coding RNA is filed under the name Sus scrofa (pig). RNAcentral describes it as "lncRNA (ENSSSCG00000055918.1)". The record is from RNAcentral. Lineage: Eukaryota; Metazoa; Chordata; Mammalia; Artiodactyla; Suidae.
GAAGUUCCCAGGCUGGGGUCAAAUCAGAGCUGCAGCUUCUGGUCUGCACCACAGACACAGCAAUGCCAGAUCCUUAACAAACUGAGCGAGGCCAGGGAUUGAACUCACAUCCUCAUAGAUACUAGUUGGGUUGGUUACCACUGAGUCAUACCAGGAACUUCCUUCAAUUGAACUUUUGUUGUUUUUAAAACAUUACAGCAACUACUGCAGCUUGUUACUAGAGUCUGAUGGUUGGCAUGUACAAACUUCUCUGGGUAUGUGACCAUUUGUGUGAUUAGGCAUUAAGAAUUCUCAUUGGUUGAAUUUUCUGUAGUUUCAGCCAGAAGCUCACUGAGAUGUAGCUUUGAAUAACCACUCUUACAGUAGAGUCAUGCUUCAUGUGUUUUAUAUAUAUUUUUUGUUGUUCUAUGAAUAUCUUACCAUCUUUAGCUCAAUUCUAUAAAUGCAAUGACUCAAAAUAUGUUUCCUUUUUUCUGGUACUCUGUGCAGUAUUCUUUGUUUUUCACUUUUUAGAGUUAUUGAAGUAUGGUUGAUUUACAAUGUUGUGAUAAUUUCUGCUAUGCAAACAUGUUUCCUUUUAAAAGUAGUUGCAAAUAUAUGCUAACUUAUGUUGUAUAGUUUGUUCAGAUUACACUUAAGUAAAUGAACUGGGAUCUUUUUCACAUUUAAAUUAUUAUGAUUUAGUCUGAGCCUUGCAGUUUAUCAAGUUUCUUGCACCUGUGAGGCCUGGGGUGGAUAACCCUAUGCUGUUUAUGACUCCAGACAAGGUCAAAGAAAGUGAUGGUUUUUAGUUGAAUGCAACACUCUGUAUUUAAUUUAUCCCAAAUUAUUUCUAACCUUUAUUCUGUCCUUGACGAAAGCAAGUUUACCAUAUGCACUCUGUGGAACAAUAAAAGUGAUUGAUAAGAUUUCAAUGUGUGCUUUAGUUAAGCUCAUCAAAUAAGAGACAAAACUUUAGUGAAUGCUGAAUGAGCAGUUAUCUCAGUGGCUGAGGAUAUGCCCAGGAAACUCAGGACAGAUUCCCUUUGCUAAUGUAACUCAAUGUCAGGAGGCUGAAAAGUCAUCUCAUUGAAGCAUUAGGAGUUAAAGGCUUAUCUGUCAUUGUUGAACCACAGAGCAAAUAAUAUGCUAUGGGGUUGUUCACAUAUUGAAGGAUUAGCCAAAAUCUCCAGAAAGAACCACACUCUACUAUGUUGAGUAUGGAGCAAUUUGCUAGUUCUUUAAUACUCAAAAUGAGAUAUGAAAAUCUCUUUCAACUUGUUUGAUAAACCACUCAAUGUGGGACAUUAAUGAUUGAAGAGAAACAAAAGAUGCCUUUUUUUUUUUUAACAGCGCAUAUGACUAUGAUGCAAUAUUUUGGGGUAGGGGGUGUCUCUCUUAUUUAAAUACUUUAUUCAAAAGAGAUUGUACAUAUCUUACAUUACAGGCACUGUGGCAGGUACUGGUGAUAUAAUGUUGCAAAAGUAAAUAAAUAAAAGAUUUUGUGAUUAUUUGAUAUUUGCUAUGAAGGAAGCAGUGCAAUAAAUGAAUAGCAGCAGACUGUGACCAGGUGUAAGUGAUCACGGAAGGCCUUGAGUUGACAAGCAGUGGGAAUUAACUAGAUGAAGAGAGAGAGCAUUUCAGGGAGGAUGAGCAGCAAGAGCUAAAGCCCAGUGGUAGGAAGAUGUAUGGGACCAAAGAAGAUUAUUGAAGAAACCAGUGUAGGUCAUUGUGACUAAGUGCAGGGAGCAGAGAAGGGGAGAGGGGUAAGAAGUGGCUGGAAGUGGGCAGAUCCUGGGUCACACGGGAUCACCUCAGACAUACCAAGUAUUUGACUAUUAGUUUGAAGAGCUGCAGAAAUCAUUAAAACCUAAACAAGCCAUGAGGACCUCAUUUUGACGAGAUCGCUCAGAUUUCCAUGUUGGAAGGAGGUUUGAAGGGGGAAUAAUGUAAGGAAGAAGAGCAGCUGGAAAGUGAUUAUGGAAAACCAGGGAAAAAGUGAUGGCAGCUUUGACCAGGAUGAUUCAAAGUAUCUGAAAAACAAAGUAAAGGAAAAAUUAAGUCCCUGUGAAAAUGUAACCUUGGAGGCAGAUGGUCCUUCACUCACUAGUACCACAUGGAGGAAAGUUUGACAGACUAGUUCUGGCACAGAGGGAGCCCCAGAGAAUGGGUCCCAGGUUAGAAAAUGGUAGAACACAAAACACUUACCUGGAAGUGUGGUCUAGAAUGUAUUAUAGGUGAACCUUGGCAGAUGAGAGUUAGCUGAGGCUUCCCCAGAUCUUACCUGGUCGUGCUUAUGGGUUGCUAGUUAAAACAAAAGAUACACAGGUCCAGAAAGCCAGCCUUAUCUCUUCUCUAUGUCACUCAGUGUGUACUCUGCCAUGUGUCUUAUAAAUUCAUGAAGAAACCUUUAAAGUCAUAAUUAUAGCGUAUAGAGCUGGAAGGGGUGUGAGAUAUCAUCUAAUGUAGUGGUUCUCAAACUGUGGCCCAGACACUUCUGUUUCUAGGAAGAUGGAAUAGAGGCACUUAUCCCAUUUUCCCGUAUUUCUCCUGAGAAGUAUAACUAAACAACCUGGCCAUUUUCUAUAAAGCAAACAUAAGACGGUACAAUGGAAAAGAAAGGCAGACUGGCUAGGGAUCUCAGGACCCCAAGGAAUGGCACAGUGACAGAUUCCCUGAAUUUUCUUUUAGCUUCAUGUAUAUAUAGACUUACAGAUGAAGAUACUGGCAACCCAGAAACACAAAUAGGCACAGACAAAAAAAUUCUUCUAGAAAAAGUCUGGUCUUGGACCUGGAAAGGGGCAACCUGGCAAGGCAGAUAAAUUUUAGACAAUAAUCCUUCAACUCUGGUCAACCUUUGGUCCCUGGACCAGCAGCAUCAGUAUCCCCCGGGAACUUCUUAAAAAUGCAGAUCCCUGGGCCCCACCCCAGAUGUUACAGAAUGAGAAACUUGGGGGUAGAGCUCAGCAAUCUAUGUUUUGACAAGGCCUCCAGGUGAUUCUGAUGCCUGCCAAAGUUUAAGAACCACUGAUAUGUCUAGCUUUUGCUUUAUAUUUUCUCAGAAUGCCUCUUCUAGUACUAAAAUUUUAGGAGAACAGAGGAAGUUUUAAAAACACAUUUGAAGUAAGUGUUAACAUGUGUUAACAUAUGUAUUAUUAAGUGUUUGGCAUCUAGUAGGUGCUAGAUAAAUAUUGUAGAAUAAUACAGAGAAACUUGUUACUUUUUGAUUCAGCUACAGGGUUAGAGAGAAUGCUGAAAGAAAAAGCAUCUUUUGGAAAACCCCAAAUUGGCAUCUGUAAAUCCUGCCCAGUGAAGAGGGCUGCUGCAGGUAAAGGAAUUGCAUGAUGUUCUUUCACAUUCUGGCCUUUUUUAUUUCGCCCCAACUUCCAUGAGACUUUAUAAAUACCUGACUUUUUAUCAUACCAGAGUUUUGCAACUCUGAAUUAUUACCUCCUCCUGAUGGGGAAGUGAGGGAAGUCAAGAUUGCUGAAGUUCAAACACUAAGCCUGUUCUCCAGAUGAGUUAGAACAAGGGCUUUCAAAAGGAGAGCACUUUGUAAUUGUUCCUCCAUUUGGUCUUAGCCCAAGCUUAUUGAAUGAUUACAUUGUGUGUGUGUGUGUGUGUGUGUGUGUGUGUGUGUGUGUAUCUUUUUGCCUUUUCUAAGGCUUCUCCCACAGCACAUGGAGAUUCCCAGGCUAGGGGUUGAAUCAGAGCUGUAGCCACUGGCCUACACCAUAGCCACAGCAACACAGGAUCCUUAACCCACUGAGCAAGGUCAGGGAUCGAACCUGGAACCUCAUGGUUCCUCGUUGGAUUCAUUAACCACUGAGCCACGAUGGGAACUCCUGAAUGAUUACAUUUUUGUUAUUAAAACUUUGGUUUAGUUUGACCAGAGCAAAACAUAAAUGUCUGCUGCUUAGAAAAUAAAUAUUUUGGUAUUUUCUUAGUAUUUAUUUCAACCGAUGCUUAUAAUUGCCCAGAGACUAAAUGGGGUUUUAACAUUUAUUUUAAAAGUUAUGGCUGCUAGGAUGAGUUGAUGGAGGCCAAGUUUGAACUCAUACUGUGUUUUUACAAGCACUCUUUUAAUAACUCUCUCUGUGCAACCCCUUAUGUGUGAAGAGACCUCAGGGUGACUGUAAUUAUGAUACUGCAAUUAGGCAUUUUGACCUUGCAGAUGUACGGAAGACAUAUAGGAACUAUUCUGGCUGCUCUUGCAAUCUUAUGUUUUAUAUUUUGUAGAGCUAGUUGGAAAUAGCACUAAACUUUUUUUUUUUUUUUUAACGAUUUCUCAAGCCAGUGGAUUCAACAGAUGAAGAGGCAUGAUAACUGGGUAUCUGAAAAGUCUACAUCACCAAGCCAGGAUUUACAAAACCCAGCAGAAGUGGAAAUGGUGCUCUAGGAAGUGCAGGCUCACAGUGAGACACUCUGAGGGGAACAAAUAUACACAGCUGCAGCAUGUGCCUUAUAGGGCUCUUUGAUGCCAUUUGAAAGCUCAUUGUGACAUUCUAUUGAGCUCCUGAGUUCAGAGGAACUGCAUAUAGUUUAGAGCAGUGGUUCUCUAGGUGUGGUGCCUGGACCAGUUGCCAGUGGUCCAGUGGAAGUGUUAUAGAAAUGCAAAUUCUCAGGCUCCACCCCAGACCCACUCAGUCAGAAACUGGGGAGGGAGCCCAGGAGUCUGGGUUUUCAUAAGUCCCCCAGGUGACUCUGAUGGACACUAGAGUUUGAGAAGCACAGGAGUGAUUUAAAAGAGGGCACUUUUUUUUUUUUUUCCAAGGGAAACAGCAUCUCACGGCUGAUGUGGAAAAUCCUUUCAAAAACUAAUUAGGAAACCAGAGUAACUAUGUCAAAGGCAAGAAAGAAGUCUUUCCUGAAGCAGAGAGACAAAGCCAAUGGUUCUCCUGUUGGAUUUUAGAGGAGAGAGAAAAUUCAAGGGAAUUGAGGAGGCAUAGACUUCUUAAAGAAUCAGAAAGUGAAUAGCCACAAGGCCUUUGUAUAAAUAUGAAGUUAGCUCAUUUAGUCACUCUCAUAUAUUCUCUGACUUCAACUUUCUUCAGAUUAUUUGCAGUUAGCAAGGUUUGCACAUCUUGCUAAUGAACUUGACAGAAAAACUAAAUGACAGCUCCACUUCUUUCUUACUUUUCUCAUUGUGGUGUUGAGUGGGGGAUGAUGGUACAGCUUGUGUGUAAACUGUGUCUAUACAUCUGGCCAUAACUGGAGAAGCAUGCCCACCUGAAUGUAGUACAUGCAUAACAUGGGUGCCUCCUAGGACAAACCUCAUCUUGAAGGAAAGACAAUCAUAUAGACAAGGUUGACCCAGUAACCAUCCUGCCCUGGCCACCACGUCAUGCUCUGUGCAUGUGAGUCAGAAGAAGAAUCUCUGGACACAUAGCAAGGUGAAGAGAAAGAAAAGUUUAUUGAUAUGAGACACUUCUAGUGCAGUGGGAUGUCUCCCUGACGAUCAGGGAGAGCCAACCCCGAGUGUGUGUUGGUGUGUUUUUACAGCCCACAGAAAGAGGAGAGGUCUUGUCAUACACCUUUGACCUGCUGAUUGGUUGGGGAAAGACGGGGUCUUCUGAUAUCCUUGCUGGUUGGUUGGGGGCCUAUAUUUCCCCAUAUGGGCAGGGCAAGGAGUGGGUCACAGACCUUUCCUAGUAGGGGAAGGAAGGAGUAGGACAAGUUGCUCAAGGUGGGUGAAGGGGCAUUAGAAUGAGAUGGGUGGGGCAAUGAUAUGGGUGUGGUAAUUCUUGUCUUGGCCAGAGGUUUUGAGUUCUAUCUCCCUGAAGAGGACUUCAAGUCCAACACACCACUCAGAUUAGCCUCCUGACCAGGAGUUCUGUGAAAGAACGUUGGGUUGUCGGUAAAAAUCAGAAGUUGCUUUACAUCAACAGCUUAUAGAUCUUGGGACAUAAAUAACACUGCUUGGGUGCCUGCAGGGAAAAGUACAACUUUUUUGGGAGAGAAAAUCCAUCCUCAUUCUUCUGUGAGGAAUAUGGCUUUUGUUUAAGGGCAUCCAGAACCCCAAAGAACAUGGUUGAUGUUUUCUGCUUCUCAGAAGCAUGAGAAUCAGCUGAGAUCCUCAGGCCCCUGCUGACUCUAGUCUCUGGUUGACCUUUGCAGUAGCUCAGAACCACUAGCAUCAUAAAGAAAAUGUGAUGUAAUGAGUUCCUUGAUGGUCUAGUAUUGAGGAUUCGCUGCUUACACUGCUGUGGACCAGGUUCCUGGUAGGGGAACUGAGAUCCCACAUCAAGCUGCUGCUUGCUUCGGCCAUAAAAACACAAAAAACAGUAUAGUGAGAAGUUUGCAUUUCUCUCCUAUUUCCCUGGCUGUAUUUUCUUGGCAUUUUCAAUUGUGUUUAUGGUGGAUGGGAAGGGUCUGAUUGUCUACCAGACAGAUUUAUUUGUAUCUUUAUUUCCUCUGUUUCACAUUGUA